AUGAUUGACAGGACAACUCACAGUGGGCCUUUGGGUGAUGGGUGAACUUGGCAGCACGUCGUCAACAGUACAUCGCUGUGUCAGGAUGUGUCGACUGGCUGACUCACCAUGGCAACUGCUGAGUGACAGGCGUAGCAGGGCUUGCUCCGUGUCUUUGUUUUGCCUCAGGAUGAGUGGUUGAGCAAGAGGAGAAGGACAGUGGGGGAAGUACACUCGAGUCCUAUACUUGAGUACAAAUUCAAGAUCAAAACUGCGAACAUGACAGACUGGGUUGCAUUCCUCUCAGGUGAUGACAGCGAUAAUCCACAGGCAGUCUGGAUUCAGC
Perca flavescens (yellow perch) is the source of this 325-nucleotide long non-coding RNA. RefSeq lists it as uncharacterized. The transcript is spliced from 3 exons. The record is from RefSeq and is a predicted model, not a curated record. Lineage: Eukaryota; Metazoa; Chordata; Actinopteri; Perciformes; Percidae.